RNAcentral lists this ribosomal RNA (430 nucleotides) under Candelabrum cocksii. RNAcentral's name for it is "partial 16S ribosomal RNA". It matches the Rfam family "Bacterial large subunit ribosomal RNA", at positions 1893 to 2496 of the family's 2925-position model. Lineage: Eukaryota; Metazoa; Cnidaria; Hydrozoa; Anthoathecata; Candelabridae. The record is from RNAcentral.
GUUUAAAUUUAAUUGAUUUAUUAUAUUUUUAAAUGGAUGCGGUAACUCUGACUGUAAUAAUGUAGCAUAAUAAUUUGUCAUUUAAUUGGUGGAGGGGAUGAAUGGUUUUACGAAUAUUUCUCUGUCUUAAAUAAAAAAUUUUUUAAAUUAAAUUUAUAGUGAAGAUGCUAUAUAAAAUUGUAAGACGAAAAGACCCUAUAGAGCUUUACUAUAAAUAUUUGUUAUUUGAGUAUUUGGUAGUUUAAUUGGGGCGAUUGUUUUUUAAAAGUAACAAAAAUAGGUAAUGGGUAAUAAUGUUUUAUUUACUGUAUAAUAAAUUUAUUUAACAGUUAUUUUAGUAGGCUAUAAUGAUCCGUUUUAUUUUUUAAAAUCUUGAAACGAUAAAUAAAUAAAAGCUACCUUAGGGAAUAACAGGAUAAUUGUUAUUUUA